This is a long non-coding RNA of Cyprinus carpio carpio, 1178 nucleotides long. Lineage: Eukaryota; Metazoa; Chordata; Actinopteri; Cypriniformes; Cyprinidae. The record is from Ensembl.
GUAGUUUUGUUCAUGUCAGGGAUGAGACAAAAUUAUUGUCUAAGGCAAUCGACAAAUGGACACACAUGCUGUCCACAGGCAUUAAGUUAAAAAUAACCAAAAAUAUUCUUUAAACUAAAUUACAAUAAUCAGGAGAAAUAUCAAAACCAUCAAGUCUUAAAUAAAAGCCCUUAAAGUAGCAGAGAGUGAUUACAUUAAAUUCUAAUUAUGCACUAAAAGAAAAAUCACAAAUUUCAACAGACUUUUACAGUAAGUGUGUACAGUAUUUGAGUGUGAGACGAGAUGGACUGCAGCUGUAGGUGAGGCCACAGUGGGAGGAUGAGGAGGAUGAUCCAGGGACGCAGCUCAGGCCCCAGGUACACAGCCUUUGCGUUCCCCUCAGCAGCUUAAAUGUGUUUAAUCUGGUUCCUAAACUGCCCGGUCGGGCUGAUCAGAUUGGCGCCAGACGCCUCGCUGCAGAUCCAGCCCGACCCCCCAGAGUCCUGCACAGAAACCCAGCAGCCCACCACCUGAGAGACGCACAAUUUGGACUCUUUUAGCGAAUCAGCCGGUUUAGGCUGUCUCUGCCCAUGUUUCUUCAUCUCUCCAUUGUUGUUAUGUCUCUGAACACUGACCUGGUUUUCACUCUGUCCUCCUUUUCCGAGUGACGACAAUUCGUCCGAGACCUCUGCACUACUUUUCACCCUCCAUUCGUCCAGUGUUUUUCUCCUCGGCGUGGCCCUUGGGACGACCGGUUUGAGAAGACCAGCGUCUGAAGUCACAUGCUGGAUUGAGCAAAAGCUUGUUUGGGUCAAAUCUAAAGUGUCUGAACGAAACACACCGCACCUAAAGAUCACCUGCCUGCCUUUCUCAAGUUAAAAAGUCCAAAAUGAAAGCAACAGCAGACCUGUUUAAAUGAGCCUUUCCCCCUCGUGGCCUCAAAUCAAAUAAAACACAACAGUUGGAGUCCAAACAAGUUAAAAGAACGUCCUUGUGGGUUUUAUCCACUAAAGCAAUAGUAACAAGAACCACCUUCUCAAAGGCUAAAAUGUCCCAGCGGUCCAACACUCAAUAAAGAUUUGGCUACUUAAGAAGGUCGAAACAGCGAGCCAUUUAAGGGCUUGACAUGGACCCAGCUAGCAUGCUGCUUUUACCAUCACUCAUACCGAGGUAAUGCAAUUCCUCACCAGUGUUCUGCG